ACGCUCGACACCUACUGGAGGCAGCAGUGGGGAAUAUUGCACAAUGGGGGAAACCCUGAUGCAGCGACGCCGCGUGAAGGAAGAAGUAUCUCGGUAUGUAAACUUCUAUCAGCAGGGAAGAAAGUGACGGUACCUGACUAAGAAGCCCCGGCUAACUACGUGCCUGCAGCCGCGGUAAUCUGAGCGGGCUGGCAAGGC
This 198-nucleotide ribosomal RNA is filed under the name uncultured bacterium. Its description in RNAcentral is "partial 16S ribosomal RNA". It matches the Rfam family "Bacterial small subunit ribosomal RNA", at positions 328 to 539 of the family's 1533-position model. The record is from RNAcentral.